RNAcentral lists this long non-coding RNA (511 nucleotides) under Homo sapiens (human). RNAcentral's name for it is "non-protein coding LINC01303:39". The record is from RNAcentral. Lineage: Eukaryota; Metazoa; Chordata; Mammalia; Primates; Hominidae.
AUGUCGCUGGUUCUCAGCCACAAUUUGAGUAGCAAGAGCCCUGGACAACUUUCAGGAAGACAGUUCUGGUCUGUAGCAAUUAACACAUGGUCAUCCUCAGAAAAAGGUCCUCUCAAUUAUUUCCCAGAGAUACCCAUAACUUAAAAUGCAGGAACCAAGAGAUUUGAGCCUAGACAUUUGGAUGAAAAGCGAUUUCCACCUGGAGAAAGUCACUGCCCUUCUGUGCAGAGUACCAUUGUGUCUUGAAUCCAGCUUGGCCAUAAGGAAAUGGGGCGAGACUUUGUCAUGUAUGUCGCUGAAGUUCAGCUAUGCAAAAAUGUUCACCUAUCCUUGAUCAACCAGUCCAGGAACCAUCAAAGAAGAAAAUGAGAUUCGACUUAGAAGACCUGUUCUUUAUAAACCCCUGCACAGCCCUAAUGAUCAACACCACUUCCAGUGCUCAUAAAUUACUGCUUCAAUAAUUGUUCUGCAAUUCUGCCUAUUCUCAUUGAAUGCUUCGUAUAAUCCCUUU